GGCCCGCACAAGCGGUGGAGUAUGUGGUUUAAUUCGAUGCAACGCGAAGAACCUUACCAGGGUUUGACAUCCUGCGAAUCUCUUGGAAACGAGAGAGUGCCUUCGGGAGCGCAGUGACAGGUGGUGCAUGGCUGUCGUCAGCUCGUGUCGUGAGAUGUUGGGUUAAGUCCCGCAACGAGCGCAACCCACGUCUUUAGUUGCCAGCAUUAGUUGGGCACUCUAGAGAGACCGCCGGUGAUAAACCGGAGAAGGUGUGGAUGACGUCAAGUCAUCAUGCCCCUUACAUCUGGGCUACACACGUACUACAAUGCUACGGACAAAGAGCAGCAAGUUCGCGAGGACAAGCAAAUCCCCAUAAACCGUGGCUCAGUUCAGA
This 376-nucleotide ribosomal RNA is filed under the name uncultured bacterium. RNAcentral's name for it is "bacterial SSU rRNA". It matches the Rfam family "Bacterial small subunit ribosomal RNA", at positions 918 to 1297 of the family's 1533-position model. The record is from RNAcentral.